UAAAAGCGUCUAGACAAGGACAAUGGGGGGUCGUAGUCGUCGUCCUUCUCCUGAUGUGCAAGUCGCCGCUGUCUCGGCCCAGACAGCGACCCCAAGCAUCUCAAGGGUGUGGAGAUGGAGAUGGAAAUAUCGUGGAGAGAAAUCUGCGAUUAUGAAACUGCCAUUGUUGGGCUUUGACAGAAUCGCCGGCCAUUGGUUGGCCCAUUUUGUCAUCUCCUCAUUAAUCCAUUCCCCUGUCCAUUAACCGACGGCGUCAUCUCCAGCUCCACUCCACUUGACUCCGUCCCCGGGCCUGGGCGAACCCUAGCGCCGCCCCGCCAAGGUUGCUUCAGAGUUCUCCGUCGUGCAGAGACGAUGCAGCCGAACGAGGUCGCCGACAAGGCCAUUGUCAUAAUGCAGCACGCCGCGAAGCAGGUCCUGGGUACGUGCAAGGAGAAGCUCCACCUGGGGAAGCCACUCAGCGUGUUUGAAGUGAAGGAACUAAAAGAAGCGCUUGAAGCCAUUGCCGAAGCACUGGACCAGGACUCGCUGCUUUGCCAAGUUGCUUUGGAUGCGGGUGCUCCCAGCUUAGUAGAAGAUCACUGGGACGACGAAGGCGGAGAAGCCGUGGUGGCGGGUCUCCCAUGGCCUGAAUCCCCACGUCCGGAGGACUUCAUGUCCCUUGAAAAGCACAUAGAAACCUACUGGAGCGUCGAGUACGACUCGGACAAUAUGCUGCCUAGCUUAUCUGAUUAGAUUAGGUGGUAGAUAUGAUGGAUUAAUUCUUCUUCGCAAGCAAUUUUUUUUUCUUGCAUUCCUUCCUCCUCCUCCCACCUUCCUUCCCUCUAUUUGUAAAGCUAGCACCCCCGGCCAAUCAAUCUCUUUUGAAGGAUGAAAUGUUACUAGAUGCA
Long non-coding RNA from Zea mays, 890 nucleotides. RefSeq lists it as uncharacterized. The record is from RefSeq and is a predicted model, not a curated record. The transcript is spliced from 3 exons. Lineage: Eukaryota; Viridiplantae; Streptophyta; Magnoliopsida; Poales; Poaceae.